RNAcentral lists this non-coding RNA (30 nucleotides) under Mus musculus (house mouse). Lineage: Eukaryota; Metazoa; Chordata; Mammalia; Rodentia; Muridae. The record is from RNAcentral.
UCUUUUGUUUUGUUUUCAACCCCACAGUCC